Molecule: ribosomal RNA, 403 nt
Filed under: uncultured bacterium
Lineage: Bacteria
Description: bacterial SSU rRNA
Rfam family: Bacterial small subunit ribosomal RNA
Source: RNAcentral
UAGGGAAUAUUGGUAAUGUGCGAAAGCGCGAACCAGCAACGCUGCGUGUGCGAUGACGGCCUUCGGGUUGUAAAGCACUUUUUAAGGGGAUGAGGAAGGACAGUACCCUUAGAAUAAGCCUCGGCUAACUACGUGCCAGCAGCCGCGGUAAAACGUAGGAGGCGAGCGUUAUCCGGAUUUAUUGGGCGUAAAGCGUGUGUAGGCGGUUUGAUAAGUUGGAUGUGAAAGCUCCUGGCUUAACUGGGAGAGGUCGUUCAAAACUAUCAGACUUGAGAGUGGUAGAGGGAGGUGGAAUUCCGGGUGUAGUGGUGAAAUGCGUAGAUAUCCGGAGGAACACCAGUGGCGAAAGCGGCCUCCUGGCCCAUUUCUGACGCUCAGACACGAAAGCUAAGGUAGCAAACGG